UUUCUAAAUCAUGUAUUAAUUCUUGAUUGUUAGCAGGAAAAGGAUGCCCUAUUGACAACUACUGUGAUCAUAGAGAAAGGCACACCAAAAUUUGAGCUUGAUAUUCAGCAAUAUGAUACAAUCAUGUUGCAUUUCUCUUUGCUUCUUCUGAGCUGGCCUAUACAAUUCCAUAUGUUUCAGUAAGGGAAUCUGAGUUCAUAUUAUACAGGAUGCGCUAAUCCAGUGUUUCAAAUCAAUACAUGAGAGAGAGGCAGUUAAAGACAACAAAAGGAGCACUGAAACAGAAAUUCUCAAGCUGUGAAAAAGCGAUAAGAGUAUCACGAUCACAGCUUCUUCACCUAAGAAUCUAUUUCUAUUGUUCCUUCGUAUGGACUGAGUAUGUGUCAAAAGAUCGGGAUGCUCGCAGAUUCUCGAGAAAGAGUGGGAUUGAUAAAUAAUGUUUGAGAAAACAUAAAGAGCGAACCAAGUCGAUGCUUACAUAACGAAGAUGCAAAUGUAUAUAUCGAAAAAGGAGAGUUUUUUUUUUCUUUUACUGGGCAGAUAUUUUUUUUUUUUGAAAAUAAUAUUAACAUUUUAUAUUAUUGCUAAGCAGAAACUAUUUAAUUUCAGUUAACAUUUAGAAAUGUAUAUUUUACCCUCAUUUGAAUAUAAAUGAAC
Raphanus sativus (radish) is the source of this 657-nucleotide long non-coding RNA. RefSeq lists it as uncharacterized. NCBI's taxonomy places the organism in Eukaryota, Viridiplantae, Streptophyta, Magnoliopsida, Brassicales, Brassicaceae. The record is from RefSeq and is a predicted model, not a curated record. The transcript is spliced from 3 exons.